Molecule: ribosomal RNA, 253 nt
Filed under: uncultured bacterium
Lineage: Bacteria
Description: partial 16S ribosomal RNA
Rfam family: Bacterial small subunit ribosomal RNA
Source: RNAcentral
UACAGAGGGGGCAAGCGUUGUUCGGAAUUACUGGGCGUAAAGGGCGCGUAGGCGGCCUUCUAAGUCGAACGUGAAAUCCCCGGGCUCAACCCGGGAACUGCGUCCGAUACUGGAAGGCUUGAAUCCGGGAGAGGGAUGCGGAAUUCCAGGUGUAGCGGUGAAAUGCGUAGAUAUCUGGAGGAACACCGGUGGCGAAGGCGGCAUCCUGGACCAACACUGACGCUGAUGAGCGAAAGCCAGGGGAGCAAACGGG